RNAcentral lists this small RNA (433 nucleotides) under Histoplasma capsulatum var. duboisii H88. RNAcentral's name for it is "Histoplasma capsulatum H88 hypothetical RNA". Lineage: Eukaryota; Fungi; Ascomycota; Eurotiomycetes; Onygenales; Ajellomycetaceae. The record is from RNAcentral.
UUAUACAACCGUCAUACAAGUUAUAAUCACUCAAAAAGAAAAUGGCCUUCUUUGAACAUAAUUUCUACCAACUUCAGAUCUUCUAAUACUAUCUUCAGGGCAUGCCAAAAUCUGGGGUUACCUCUACUAGGUUAGGCAAUGUGGCCUCCUUGAGCGAUUUGGGAUUUUAGGAGCCCCUCUCAGCUUUGUCCCAGUGUGAUAGUGAUAUGCCAACUCCUUUCUUAAUUCAAUGUGGUUUCCUAAUCGCGGCUUUUAUGAUUUCAAUGCACUUUAUUUGUUAGUAUUUUUGCGCACCAUACCACAACCAUUGAAAUAUCAAAGAUCACAAUCAUCAAUUUGAAUUUUUGUUCAAAUAGCUACAUAGCAUUAUUUGGUUUUUUUUUGUUUUUCCUUUGGAAAGUUCAUCGUAACUCAUUUUUUUUUUCAACCCCAG